Molecule: ribosomal RNA, 800 nt
Filed under: Lactobacillus casei group sp.
Lineage: Bacteria; Bacillati; Bacillota; Bacilli; Lactobacillales; Lactobacillaceae
Description: bacterial SSU rRNA
Rfam family: Bacterial small subunit ribosomal RNA
Source: RNAcentral
GGCUCAGGAUGAACGCUGGCGGCGUGCCUAAUACAUGCAAGUCGAACGAGUUCUCGUUGAUGAUCGGUGCUUGCACCGAGAUUCAACAUGGAACGAGUGGCGGACGGGUGAGUAACACGUGGGUAACCUGCCCUUAAGUGGGGGAUAACAUUUGGAAACAGAUGCUAAUACCGCAUAGAUCCAAGAACCGCAUGGUUCUUGGCUGAAAGAUGGCGUAAGCUAUCGCUUUUGGAUGGACCCGCGGCGUAUUAGCUAGUUGGUGAGGUAAUGGCUCACCAAGGCGAUGAUACGUAGCCGAACUGAGAGGUUGAUCGGCCACAUUGGGACUGAGACACGGCCCAAACUCCUACGGGAGGCAGCAGUAGGGAAUCUUCCACAAUGGACGCAAGUCUGAUGGAGCAACGCCGCGUGAGUGAAGAAGGCUUUCGGGUCGUAAAACUCUGUUGUUGGAGAAGAAUGGUCGGCAGAGUAACUGUUGUCGGCGUGACGGUAUCCAACCAGAAAGCCACGGCUAACUACGUGCCAGCAGCCGCGGUAAUACGUAGGUGGCAAGCGUUAUCCGGAUUUAUUGGGCGUAAAGCGAGCGCAGGCGGUUUUUUAAGUCUGAUGUGAAAGCCCUCGGCUUAACCGAGGAAGCGCAUCGGAAACUGGGAAACUUGAGUGCAGAAGAGGACAGUGGAACUCCAUGUGUAGCGGUGAAAUGCGUAGAUAUAUGGAAGAACACCAGUGGCGAAGGCGGCUGUCUGGUCUGUAACUGACGCUGAGGCUCGAAAGCAUGGGUAGCGAACAGGAUUAGAUAC